RNAcentral lists this unclassified non-coding RNA (180 nucleotides) under uncultured fungus. RNAcentral describes it as "sequence contains ITS1". Lineage: Eukaryota; Fungi. The record is from RNAcentral.
UUUUUUGUUUCGAUAUUUCGUUACAUACUUUGACUGGUGUUUAAAGUAAGCCGCAGAACGGAGAACAAGUUCUCUAUUCCGCCAAAUGAGUGCACAGUGUUAGAAAGUGGAGGUCAGGCCCUACAAAAGUAGACGCCCUAUAAUUCACUAAUGAUCCUUCCGCAGGUUCACCUACGGAAA